GUAGGGAAUAUUGCGCAAUGGACGAAAGUCUGACGCAGCGACGCCGCGUGAGUGAUGAAGGCCUUCGGGUCGUAAAGCUCUGUCGCAGGGGAAUAACACAAUGAAGGUACCCUGUAAGAAAGGAUCGGCUAACUUCGUGCCAGCAGCCGCGGUAAGACGAGGGAUCCUAGCGUUGUUCGGAAUCAUUGGGCGUAAAGCGGAUGUAGGUGGCUAUGUAAGUCAGAUGUGAAAGCCUGGGGCUCAACCCCAGAAGUGCAUUUGAUACUGCGUAGCUUGAGUGUCGGAGAGGUUACUAGAAUUGUUGGUGUAGUGGUGAAAUACGUAGAUAUCAACAGGAAUACCGGAGGCGAAGGCGGGUAACUGGCCGAACACUGACACUGAGAUCCGAAAGCGUGGGGAUCAAACAGGAUUAGAUACCCGAGUAGUCC
Molecule: ribosomal RNA, 428 nt
Filed under: uncultured bacterium
Lineage: Bacteria
Description: partial 16S ribosomal RNA
Rfam family: Bacterial small subunit ribosomal RNA
Source: RNAcentral